Molecule: unclassified non-coding RNA, 510 nt
Filed under: Pseudoschoenus inanis
Lineage: Eukaryota; Viridiplantae; Streptophyta; Magnoliopsida; Poales; Cyperaceae
Description: partial external transcribed spacer 1f
Source: RNAcentral
UCAUUGACAUGCUCUGCAUGGCCGGCUCCCUGCGCUUCGGCGCGGCCAACGGUCAUGGGGCUGUCUCUUCACCGUCCCUCUGGUCAGCUCGUUUGAUGGCCGGGGAUGACUUUUAACGGUUGCCUGUGUGGUUCUACCCUUGCGGAUGCGGGUAGCAGAAUCGUCCCGUCUCGAUAUUAUAGCCUGCCGAGCCGAUGCUAUGCCAUCGGCGAGGCGGCCGAGUGCUGGCGAACUCCUCGUGCUGCCACGGCGCAUGCGCCUUGGUAAUGCAUCGGGACGUUCGCCGGGUCUCACGGAUGCCGUGCCUGUCGUAAGCUCUGUGGGCUUCGCUGUCCGCAGACGCUGCGAGGUUGCCCCUGCACCCGUAGUUGCUCCGUCUCUUCGCGGCGAUGCUAAUCGGGUACUUGCAUGCAAGUCCGAGUGCUGCGACCGGGCGACGAAGUCGUCGCUCGGGCGCUCCACGGCGAUGUGCUGCUGGUCCACGAGCGGCGUCGGAGCGUUGGGACCGGG